AUACUUAGGGUGCAAGCGUUAAUCGGAUUUACUGGGCGUAAAGCGCACGUAGGCGGUAUAUCAAGUUAGGCGUGAAAGCCCCGGGCUCAACCCGGGAACUGCAUUUAAAACUGGCGAACUAGAGUUGAGUAGAGGGGAGUGGAAUUUCAGGUGUAGCGGUGAAAUGCGUAGAGAUCUGAAGGAACACCAGUGGCGAAGGCGACUCCCUGGACUCGAACUGACGCUGAGGUACGAAAGCGUGGGUAGCAAACGGGAUUAGAAACCCCUGUAGUCC
This 274-nucleotide ribosomal RNA is filed under the name uncultured bacterium. Its description in RNAcentral is "partial 16S ribosomal RNA". It matches the Rfam family "Bacterial small subunit ribosomal RNA", at positions 523 to 796 of the family's 1533-position model. The record is from RNAcentral.